GACAAUGUGGUGUAGUGGUUUGCGUGUUGGACUAUGACUUUGGAGAGCAGGGUUCGAAUCCCUGCUCGACCA
Non-coding RNA from Phrynosoma platyrhinos (Desert horned lizard), 72 nucleotides. The record is from the annotation of a GenBank genome assembly. Lineage: Eukaryota; Metazoa; Chordata; Lepidosauria; Squamata; Phrynosomatidae.